RNAcentral lists this ribosomal RNA (460 nucleotides) under uncultured bacterium. RNAcentral describes it as "partial 16S ribosomal RNA". It matches the Rfam family "Bacterial small subunit ribosomal RNA", at positions 338 to 795 of the family's 1533-position model. The record is from RNAcentral.
CCUACGGGACGCAGCAGUGAGGAAUAUUGGUCAAUGGACGAGAGUCUGAACCAGCCAAGUAGCGUGAAGGAUGACUGCCCUAUGGGUUGUAAACUUCUUUUAUAUGGGAAUAAAACAGGGUAUGCAUACCCUCUUGUAUGUACCAUAUGAAUAAGGAUAGGCUAACUCCGUGCCAGCAGCCGCGGUAAUACGGAGGAUCCGAGCGUUAUCCGGAUUUAUUGGGAUUAAAGGGAGCGUAGGUGGAUUGUUAAGUCAGUUGUGAAAGGUUGCGGCUCAACCGUAAAAUUGCAGUUGAAACUGGCAGUCUUGAGUCCAGUAGAGGUGGGCGGAAUUCGUGGUGUAGCGGUGAAAUGCUUAGAGAUCACGAAGAACUCCGAUUGCGAAGGCAGCUCACUGGACUGCAACUGACACUGAUGCUCGAAAGUGUGGGUAUCAAACAGGAUUAGAUACCCGAGUAGUC